GUCCUUCCCCCAUCCUCGGUCGCCAGCGCUUCUCCGGCAGCCUCGUCCUGAAAUCGUGCGAUUGUGAGCUAGAAGCCUUCUGGGUCACUCAUAAACCAAAGAGAAAAUAAGGUGCACUCGAGUUUCCCGUCUAAAUAUUUUCCCUGGAGAUGGAAAGGUGCGCUGGCGGCCGGGGAGCCGCGACCUGGGGCGCGCUGGGCCUCGCAGAGCAGCCGCGGACCCCGGCGAUCGUGCCGUGUUCGUCUCCUUUGUGUUUCUUUAUUGAGUCCCUACUACCUCUACGGAUAUUCUGGGGGCAAUUAAAGAAAAUCACCGCUUCAUAGGCAGCACAUAUUUCCCAUAGAAAUGUGGAAUGUAAGAAAGGCACAUAAAGCAAUCCAAGUUGCCUGCAGAUAUCCACAGCCUACUUCAGUCUCAGUAAUGCUCUUUUAACCUGGCUAUAUGGAGAGUUGACAGAAAAUACAGGAUCAUCAAUCAAUGAUACAGUAAAUACAGAAUUCCUCACAGAUGAUGAAUGUUGUCCUUCAGCGUCUGUGGUCACUUCCACCUUUAACUAAAGUUGGAGUUGGAAGAAAGGCAAUGUGACUCCAAACUUCACAGUACCUCCAUCUUAGACAAACACGACUCUCUCCUUCACCUGCGUGCCAGCUGAGGGAGUUCUGUUCCAUUGCUGUCUCCGGGGACUCUGUCAGUAUAUUUGAUGUAAUACUUGUUUCUGUCCAUAAAACAUGUGAUGAUGAGAAGAUCGCAGUGCAGAUCCAAAAUCAUAUGCUCACUGCAGGCUUGGACUCCCUGCUGGAUGUUGUGUACGUGGAGGGCUCCUGCUUAUGCCACUAGGACAAAAUGACCGCUUUUGCUUAAGAGAUAUAGUUCCUACUGAUUUUUAUAAUUCCAUUAAGAGUCAAUCUUGUUUGGAAUGGGUUCAAUCCUUGCUACUGUCAUUCCAAUAGGAUUUGUUCAAGAAUCUAGGAUAUUUUGAUUAUUUACAGCAUAUUCCACAUUAAACCAGAAAAGAGAACCAUUUAUCUGUAUAUUAUUUCAGAUCACUAUGUGUCUUAGUAUUUUCUGAUAGGGAGUAUCAAUAUCCUUUAAUCAUUCAUUCACUUAUUUAUUUGUUAAAUAAAUGCUUAUUAAAUGUGU
Molecule: long non-coding RNA, 1140 nt
Filed under: Homo sapiens (human)
Lineage: Eukaryota; Metazoa; Chordata; Mammalia; Primates; Hominidae
Description: HSALNT0299999
Source: RNAcentral